RNAcentral lists this ribosomal RNA (516 nucleotides) under Triticum aestivum (bread wheat). RNAcentral describes it as "partial small subunit ribosomal RNA". Lineage: Eukaryota; Viridiplantae; Streptophyta; Magnoliopsida; Poales; Poaceae. The record is from RNAcentral.
AUGCAUCAUCAUAUAGAUAGCUUAUUUGCAUUGUUCAAAAAACUUUGUAGUCUCAACGAUGAUGCAUACAUGUCAACUAUGGGUGUUGGGUCCAACAAUUCGCAUUGGUCUCAAACCAAUGACAUCCAUUUCGAAGAUCAUGAGUUUGAGGUGGACGAGGAGGGUGAGGGCAUUGUCGACACGCCGAAAGAAAGAGUGGGCAAUUACUCCACCAACGAUGACAAGUUACUAUGAAAUACUUGGUUGCAAGUGUCGAGGGAUCCAUCCAUUGGAGGUGAUCAAAGUAGAGACGCUUAUUGGGGGCGAAUGAAAGAACACUUUGAUGCUCACAACAUGAGUGGAGUUGACCGCUCCGAGAGAUCACUUCGGUCCCGAUGGUCGACAAUCAACUCCGAUUGUCAAAAGUGGGCGGCCGCACAAAAGGCAGUUGACAAGAUUAAACCAAGUGGCACAAAUGAGGAUGAUAGAGUAAGUGGCAUCUCAUACAUGUUCAUCAUACUUGUUUUUGGUGUCUGA